Molecule: ribosomal RNA, 253 nt
Filed under: uncultured bacterium
Lineage: Bacteria
Description: partial 16S ribosomal RNA
Rfam family: Bacterial small subunit ribosomal RNA
Source: RNAcentral
UACGUAGGGUGCGAGCGUUAAUCGGAAUUACUGGGCGUAAAGAGCGCGUAGGCGGUCCGGUAAGUCGGUUGUGAAAACUGGGGGCUCAACCCUCAGAGGCCGACCGAUACUGCUGGGCUAGAGUCCGGAAGAGGCGAGUGGAAUUCCUGGUGUAGCGGUGAAAUGCGCAGAUAUCAGGAGGAACACCAAUGGCGAAGGCAGCUCGCUGGGACGGUACUGACGCUGAGGCGCGAAAGCCAGGGGAGCAAACGGG